AGUGAACGCUGGCGGUAGGCCUAACACAUGCAAGUCGAACGGCAGCACAGGAGAGCUUGCUCUCUGGGUGGCGAGUGGCGGACGGGUGAGGAAUACAUCGGAAUCUACUUUUUCGUGGGGGAUAACGUAGGGAAACUUACGCUAAUACCGCAUACGACCUACGGGUGAAAGCAGGGGACCUUCGGGCCUUGCGCGAUGGAAUGAGCCGAUGUCGGAUCAGCUAGUUGGCGGGGUAAAGGCCCACCAAGGGGACGAUCCGUAGCUGGUCUGAGAGGAUGAUCAGCCACACUGGAACUGAGACACGGUCCAGACUCCUACGGGAGGCAGCAGUGGGGAAUAUUGGACAAUGGGCGCAAGCCUGAUCCAGCCAUACCGCGUGGGUGAAGAAGGCCUUCGGGUUGUAAAGCCCUUUUGUUGGGAAAGAAAUCCAGCUGGCUAAUACCCGGUUGGGAUGACGGUACCCAAAGAAUAAGCACCGGCUAACUUCGUGCCAGCAGCCGCGGUAA
RNAcentral lists this ribosomal RNA (506 nucleotides) under uncultured bacterium. Its description in RNAcentral is "partial 16S ribosomal RNA". It matches the Rfam family "Bacterial small subunit ribosomal RNA", at positions 29 to 523 of the family's 1533-position model. The record is from RNAcentral.